UUCCCGUAAGGGGGCCUGCGGAGGGAUCAUUGCUGGAACGCGCCCCAGGCGCACCCAGAAACCCUUUGUGAACUUAUACCUUACUGUUGCCUCGGCGCAUGCCGGCCCCCCCGGGGGCCCCUCGGAGACGAGGAGCAGGCACGCCGGCGGCCAAGUUAACUCUUGUUUUUACACUGAAACUCUGAGAAAAAAACACAAAUGAAUCAAAACUUUCAACAACGGAUCUCUUGGUUCUGGCAUCGAUGAAGAACGCAGCGAAAUGCGAUAAGUAAUGUGAAUUGCAGAAUUCAGUGAAUCAUCGAAUCUUUGAACGCACAUUGCGCCCUCUGGUAUUCCGGAGGGCAUGCCUGUUCGAGCGUCAUUUCAACCCUCAAGCAUUGCUUGGUGUUGGGGCACUGCUUUUUACCCGAAAGCAGGCCCUGAAAUCUAGUGGCGAGCUCGCCAGGACCCCGAGCGCAGUAGUUAAACCCUCGCUCUGGAAGGCCCUGGCGGUGCCCUGCCGUUAAACCCCCAACUUUUGAAAAUUUGACCUCGGAUCAGGUAGGAAUACCCGCUGAACUUAAGCAUAUCAAA
This 573-nucleotide ribosomal RNA is filed under the name Diaporthe sp. Its description in RNAcentral is "eukaryotic LSU rRNA". The stretch from base 208 to 361 matches the Rfam family "5.8S ribosomal RNA". The record is from RNAcentral. Lineage: Eukaryota; Fungi; Ascomycota; Sordariomycetes; Diaporthales; Diaporthaceae.